UUUAAUUCGAUGAAGAGAAGAGUAAGCUUCUAAUCCAUUUACAGAGAGAAGGUACAAUAGCUGAAAGUACUUUUAAAUGAAGAGUUGCUGAAAACCACCUCUGAGUGACUUUAAUAAAGUUCGUUGACUACGUUAUAGUCUUAAAAGUUGGCAUAAUAUUUUUAUGCAAAUUGGGUGGAACCGCGGGUAUAACUCGUCCCUUUU
RNAcentral lists this non-coding RNA (204 nucleotides) under Clostridium sp. RNAcentral describes it as "T-box sequence". It matches the Rfam family "T-box leader". Rfam says of the family: Uncharged tRNA acts as the effector for transcription antitermination of genes in the T-box leader family. The record is from RNAcentral. Lineage: Bacteria; Bacillati; Bacillota; Clostridia; Eubacteriales; Clostridiaceae.